Long non-coding RNA from Orcinus orca (killer whale), 1053 nucleotides. RefSeq lists it as uncharacterized. The transcript is spliced from 3 exons. Lineage: Eukaryota; Metazoa; Chordata; Mammalia; Artiodactyla; Delphinidae. The record is from RefSeq and is a predicted model, not a curated record.
CCUGUCCAGAGAACAGAAAUGGAAUUUAGUUUCUAUUUUAGAAGAACAGAGACUCCAAAACCCUGUUGUCCACUCAAAUUUCUCACGUGAAAGUACAACACCCAUAAUUCUCACCUUCAGCUCAAAACCCUUCUUACACAAUCAAAAGCUUCCAGGUGAUCACCAUUGUAAAAAAAAAAAAAGUGAGAAUGUAGCCCAGGAGGCCAUACAGACUCACAGCAUUUAUACCAACCGUGGUCACCAGCCUUCUUGUAUCUACCACAGACAACCAGAAACGCUUUGACAUCAGGAGGAAACAAGGAUUGCGUCUGAAACCUUCACCGCAUCAGCACCACAUUAUCUGUUAACAGUAUUUUCUCCCUUCCCGUCUCACUCCCCAGCCAUCUGUUGCUUAUUGGCAGCUUGCAGUGCCCAAGAUGAGCCACGCAGAGGAUUCCAAUAACCCUAACAGCCUGUUUCUUGUUUCUGUUACCUCUCUUCAGACACCUCAGGAGCUCCACUUUCAUCUCUGGCUGCUAUGGACCCCUGUCCCAGCAGGUUCUGCAGGGAAGCCGAAGAGCCUACAUUCCUCAUCUCUUCCUCUCCCAUCCCUCCCUCCAAAGAGAAUGAAGAAGAUUCAGAGGUGCCACCUCUAUCGCACAGACACAGAUUUAUGGUCGGUCCUGUACAGCAACUACCUCGUUCUCUUGCUCAGAUUCAUCUUUCUCUAAAUACAUACAACUGUGUAUUUGAGAAUUCCAACUGAAAACUGUCUACCACACUGUGAAAAGGCUGCAGACAAAAGAGCCAGCAGUGAGAAAUUAGAAGAGCCAAGAAUCUUGUCAAACUGCAUUGGCAUUUCUCCAGAUGGGAACAGGACUUCUUUUUUGUCCUUUCUGUAAAGUUCUUGGCAUGCUCAUGGCAGAGGAGACUGCUUCACAGCAAGAGAAAAGGCCCACUGCACUCAAAGAGAUCACAUUUAUUUAUGCUGUUCCUUCUUCCCUUUAAGAGGAACCAUCACUUUCCAGGAGAAAACUGCACCAGUGGGGAAGCAUGAAACAAGUAUGGUAAGAC